Entelurus aequoreus (snake pipefish) is the source of this 1130-nucleotide long non-coding RNA. RefSeq lists it as uncharacterized. The transcript has 3 exons. The record is from RefSeq and is a predicted model, not a curated record. NCBI's taxonomy places the organism in Eukaryota, Metazoa, Chordata, Actinopteri, Syngnathiformes, Syngnathidae.
GCCACGCACUUCCCCAGCCCACCGCUAAGGCUGCGCGGCGCUGUUGAGCCACACGCCCCGAGCCAGUGAGCAAACAAUGUUUUCACACAUAAAAAAACUCCGCACCAAAAACGCUUCGCACAUCAACAUCGGCAUUGGAAUAAGAUGAAAAGUGACGAGUACUUUCUAAGGUCAAACACGGAGAGCUUUCCGACCAGCCACACUAGAUGAUGACGUUUGCGACCUUCUGUUUUUGUCAGUCAUGUGGAAAAAAAAAAAAAAAAAAGUCAAGUCGGCACACACGACAUUUUUUUUUCUAGAAACUUCCACCUUGUCGGCUUCUCGUCAACGACAUCCAAAAGCUGAGCUGCUCGGGAAUUUGAUUGCGUGUGUGAAAUCAUCUGAUGCCAGCAAACACUUCUCCACGACGGGCCUUUUUUCCACGGUACGACCGAGGUACUUACGCCUGUGACGUCCUUCCACGCAGUCCUGCACUUUUCCUCUUUCCAGCCGAGGUGGAAUCCUCAAGUGAGCGGUUGGGGGAAAAAAAAAAAAAAGAAAAGAAAAGAGGAAAAACGACGCAGCUAAGCUAAAGAACAUGAAGGCUAGCCCAGCUGCUGCUUCUUCUCCUCCUGCUUGAAAUGACUAAAGUACACAACGAGCAGGUGUCAUGGUGGCAAAAAACACAUGAUGUGCUCUCCAGCCGUAUGGAGAAAACGUGUUGGUGUGAAAGUGUCCAUAUCCUUGUCGCUGAGCGGCAGGUUGAAACUAUAGAGAGGUGGUCACUAAAAAGUGCUACUGUUGGGGGUUAACAACUUUGCCGAGGAGCCUUCUCAUUGGACGAGACUUUCCGCCAAUCAGGGGACGAGGGCUCCGGGAGCUGGUGACGUCACGAGCAGAGAGGGGCAACUUAAAGACGUGAUUGGACAAACACGGCACGGUUCGCUCGAGUCAUGGCCAGCUAGGCAAAUUAGACACAAUCCACCCACCACACAAAGAUUGCAGUCCUGGACAUGCAGUACCAGCUUGUGGACAGUGGGGUGCAGACCGGUCAGCAGCUUCCAUUAUGAAUUAGGCCCUAGACCUGAAAGAUGCUCAAGGGCCUGUUUGCGGCACUGAGAUGAUUUUUAAAAAGGUAAAUUAAACAAAAC